UAAAGCAACCAAACUUCCUCAGGCUAAGAUCUCGUCAGAUCUCAUAAGCUAAACAGGGUCAGGGUUGGUCAGUACUUGGAGAGAAACCACCAAGGAAACCCAAGAUGCCCCAG
This is a ribosomal RNA of Chrysemys picta bellii (western painted turtle), 113 nucleotides long. The record is from Ensembl. NCBI's taxonomy places the organism in Eukaryota, Metazoa, Chordata, Testudines, Emydidae.